This 393-nucleotide ribosomal RNA is filed under the name uncultured bacterium. RNAcentral's name for it is "bacterial SSU rRNA". It matches the Rfam family "Bacterial small subunit ribosomal RNA", at positions 30 to 424 of the family's 1533-position model. The record is from RNAcentral.
UUGAACGCUGGCGGAAUGCUUUACACAUGCAAGUCGAACGGCAGCACGGGAGCAAUCUUGGUGGCGAGUGGCGAACGGGUGAGUAAUGUAUCGGAACGUACCUUUCAGUGGGGGAUAACGUAGCGAAAGUUACGCUAAUACCGCAUAUUCUGUGAGCAGGAAAGCAGGGGAUCGCAAGACCUUGCGCUGAUUGAGCGGCCGAUAUCAGAUUAGCUAGUUGGUGAGGUAAAGGCUCACCAAGGCGACGAUCUGUAGCGGGUCUGAGAGGAUGAUCCGCCACACUGGAACUGAGACACGGUCCAGACUCCUACGGGAGGCAGCAGUGAGGAAUAUUGCACAAUGGGGGAAACCCUGAUGCAGCAACGCCGCGUGGAGGAUGACGCAUUUCGGUGU